Diceros bicornis minor is the source of this 1014-nucleotide long non-coding RNA. RefSeq lists it as uncharacterized. NCBI's taxonomy places the organism in Eukaryota, Metazoa, Chordata, Mammalia, Perissodactyla, Rhinocerotidae. The transcript has 3 exons. The record is from RefSeq and is a predicted model, not a curated record.
GUCCAGCUGUCCUGCCUGACCUUUCAGUUUAAGAUGUGAAACUCAGACCCGCACCUGGUGUUCUAGCUGUCAGAGCAAGAGGAGUGAGGGAACGUUUGUGCCUUAACCAAAAACACCGGAAUGGUGGAACCAGAGUCUCUGAAAUCGGACACCCUCCAGUAAAGAAGCACCCCAUGCGUGAGUGCUCCGGGAGAACACGACAGUGCCGGACCUCGUCUAAAGGCUCAGAAAAGGCACCCGCCUUGCCGUGGUGACAUUCACCCUGGGACAGGAGGCGGGAGGUGACCAUGUGCUGCAUUCUGGCCUGAGACGAGGGUGGAGCUGAUGGGACCCCGAGAAAUCUUUCUAAAGGAGGCUGCCUCUGCGAAGAGAACGCGUUUUCUUUACUCACAGCCCUUCUCUGCCUUCCCGUCUGGACUAGACGAGAUGGCUGUGCUCCAGCAGUCACUUGGAGCCAUGACGUUACCCUGCGGAAGGAAGCCACGCACUGAAGGUGGCCGAGCAGAGUGACAGAGCCUGGCUCCUGAUGACACCAUGGCACGCCCACACCAGCACUUAGCCACCUACCUCCACACUUGUGUCACGUGAGCAAAUGAACCCUCCUCCCUUCAAGCCACUUUAUUCGGAUCUCUAGUCUUGCGCUCCAGUGUGAUUCCUGACUGACAGUCAGCCAUGGCGGAACAUCAUCACUCCCUCCUCGCCAUUCAUCCAGUUUUUAUCCUGUCGUUCAUUCAAUUUUCCAUCACUGAGAGACAGGCCUUGCUCUCCAGGAGCUCAACACUGAAAAGGCAGAACAGCCUUACAAAAUUAACUUUUAGUAUAUAUGAUGAAGGUCACGCUACAGAAAAACGUGCAAAGGCCAUGAAAACCCAAAGAAAAAGGUCUAAAGGAAGCAGCACUGAAGGUUGUCAUAAAAGAUGAGUAGCAAGUUGCCAGGCAGACAGGAAGGAGAAGGCAUUCUUGGCAAAAGGAACGGGAUGUACAAAGGAACAGAGACAUUUGAGCAUGGUGAGU